AUAUGGAAGUUCUCAGGCUAGGGGUGGAAUCAGAGCUGCAGCUGCUGGCCCACAUCAUAGGCACAGAAACAUAGGAUGCGAGCCGCAUCUGCGACCUAUACCACAGCUCAUGGCAAUGCCGGAUCCCUGACCUACUGAGUGAGGCCAGGGAUCAAGCCCGCAUCCUCAUGGAUACUAGUCAGAUUUGUUUCCACUGCACUACAAUGGAAACUUCAUAGAAAUUAGAUGCAUCCUGAUAAAUAAAUGAGGCCUACUAAUAUGAAAAUGAGGAACAGAUUUUGAACAAGGCAUUUGAACAGUAGUUUGCUUAUACUUAAGAAAGAGGAGCUUGUGACCUAAAUCCUGAACUUUAGAGGGCCAACCUCCAUCCUUCCUCAGGUCAUACUACUCACCACCCAAAGCCUGUACCACACCUUCUAGACCAUGUUCUGAAUAAGCAGGCCACUAGAGGUCCAUGGCAGUAUAGUACUUUUUUCCAUCUUUUUUGUCCUGAGUGUGGAUUGCACCAUACUGUCAUAAUAAUAUUGCUGAAUGGUGGCCAAGUCUUGGUUGUUUGUGAGAAGUGUGGCUGGAGCUUGGAAUAAUGGGCUCUGUUGCUCAGAUGAGUGGGUUUCAGAACAUGGACCAGGGGUAAGAGUCUAGGUAAAUUUCCUUUUGUGCUACCACAUUCUAAGAUAGAAUUCUAAUGGCGGAAGAGCAUUCUAAAUUUGAACUGAGCCUUCAAGAUCAUUUUCAAGGUGUAUUUGUCAGAGUAGUAAGCGAGGACCCAUUUAAGGGUUUGAUAGUUGAUUGGCAGUUUUUCACUGUUUAUACAUAUGGUAGGUGUUCAAGGCUCUGAAAAUAUAAGGGAUGGGCUUGUGAUUUAACCAAAAACAUGAAGCUGGCCAGGUUAUGGUAUAGGAUCUAUGUGACAGAAUUCUAGAAAAGAAGAAUAAAUAGUGGGGAGGAAAGGGUGACUAGGAAGGUGACAUCAAAGUCAGAUCACAAGGGAGUGAUACUAAGGCGUAUGAGAUUUAUCCCAUAGGGUGGUUUGGUAAUGCCGUCCAAGGAUUUCCAUGUCCAAGUCCUUAGAACCUGUGAAUAUGUUACCUUACAAGGCAACAUGGGUUUUGAAAAUACAGUCACAUUUACAGAUUCUGAGAUGAUAUCAUCCUGGAUUAUCCAAAGGGUCCUAAUCUAACUACAUGAGUCCUGAAAUGUUGAAACCCUUUCCAGCUAUGUUCAUGAAGAUAGAAAUAUGAGGUUAGAAGAAGAGUGAGAAUCAACGACGCCUGAUGGCUUUGAAGCUGGAGGAAAGAACCAUGAGUCAAGGAAGGCAAAUGUCCUCUAGGAACUAGAAAGGGCAAGAAAACAAAUUCUCCCCUGGAGUCUCUAGAAAGUAAUGAGGCCUUGAUUUUAGCCCACAAUAAAUUCCUGCUGUAGCCUUUAGGCAUUUUUUUUUUUAAUUUUGUCACCAAUAAUAAAAUAACCUGACAAACAGGGGCUUCCAUAGGUGGUAUAUUUUUCUGCUCUAACAGGAAGUCCAGAAGUUGGACCUCUGGGCUACAGAAGCUGUGCUAGGGCCCAGGGCCUGCCUAUCUUUCUGCUCUAUCACCCCGACAAUUCCUGUGCUCAUGGUCACAAGAUGGUUGUUGUAGGUGGCAUGCCUCCCUAGACAGGGAGAGGACAGCAGAUGAAAAUAUAGGGAGCAUGCUAACCGAGGCGGAUUGUCCUUUCAAAAAUACUCAUUUCAGAAGCUCCACCCAUCAACUCACUGGCCAGAAGUAGCCAACUUUUACUUUGAGUACAGACAAAAAAGUUUCAGAAACUGGCAACUAAACCUGCAAGGCAACUAGGGCUUAGGAAGAGGAAUGGGAUUUAGACAGAGGCCAAAUCAUAAAAAGAACUCUGUUUACUACAGAUUUGGGAAGCAUCAGAGGCUGUCCAGGUCUCAGCAUUAUAUAGCACUGGGACUCAAGAAGAAUCACAGAGUAAGAGCUUGGCUUAUGGAGGUAAAAAAAAAAGUGGGGGGGGGGGGAGAAAAAGAGAACUUCUUGCUCCCAGCUACACUCAGCUAUUCUUCCUUUGUGUUCUAAUACCACGGGAGUAUCCCUAUCUUUGCACUGUUUCAACAUUUUGUUCAUCUGUGUAUGUAACCAAAAUGUUUUUUUCAUCUCCUACAGGUAGUUAACCCAGGCUCUCGAUUCUUGCCUCUUCAUGCCAAGCAGAGCACCAGGCAUAUGCUACGUAUUGGGUUAGUGUUGAUUACAUGAAUUAUUAAGGUAUGAAAACAUUUCAGGAGAGAGGAAUAUUCCUAUGCAUUAUUUUUAUUCCUUUCAAUAUAAUACAUGCCGUUUCAACCCUCAUGAGCUAUCAGAGAAGCACCUGGAGUUUCAGGAAAUGUACAGGACAUACGGUCAGCGCACUCGAGUACAAAUUCCAUUUCUG
This 2427-nucleotide long non-coding RNA is filed under the name Sus scrofa (pig). RNAcentral's name for it is "lncRNA (ENSSSCG00035039884.1)". Lineage: Eukaryota; Metazoa; Chordata; Mammalia; Artiodactyla; Suidae. The record is from RNAcentral.